AUUGAACGCUGGCGGCAGGCCUAACACAUGCAAGUCGAGCGGAUGAAGGGAGCUUACUCCUGGAUUCAGCGGCGGACGGGUGAGUAAUGCCUAGGAAUCUGCCUGGUAGUGGGGGAUAACGUCCGGAAACGGGCGCUAAUACCGCAUACGUCCUGAGGGAGAAAGUGGGGGAUCUUCGGACCUCACGCUAUCAGAUGAGCCUAGGUCGGAUUAGCUAGUUGGUGGGGUAAAGGCCUACCAAGGCGACGAUCCGUAACUGGUCUGAGAGGAUGAUCAGUCACACUGGAACUGAGACACGGUCCAGACUCCUACGGGAGGCAGCAGUGGGGAAUAUUGGACAAUGGGCGAAAGCCUGAUCCAGCCAUGCCGCGUGUGUGAAGAAGGUCUUCGGAUUGUAAAGCACUUUAAGUUGGGAGGAAGGGCAGUAAGUUAAUACCUUGCUGUUUUGACGUUACCAACAGAAUAAGCACCGGCUGACUUCGUG
Molecule: ribosomal RNA, 484 nt
Filed under: uncultured bacterium
Lineage: Bacteria
Description: partial 16S ribosomal RNA
Rfam family: Bacterial small subunit ribosomal RNA
Source: RNAcentral